Molecule: ribosomal RNA, 179 nt
Filed under: uncultured methanogenic archaeon
Lineage: Archaea; Methanobacteriati; Methanobacteriota
Description: partial 16S ribosomal RNA
Rfam family: Archaeal small subunit ribosomal RNA
Source: RNAcentral
UUUAUGGGCCUAAGCGUUCGUAGCCGGNUCGGUAAGUCUCUGGGGAAAUCUUUUGGUUCAACCGUGAGGAUUCUCGGGGAUACUGGUGACCUUGGGGCCGGGAGAGGUGGGAGGUACUUCGGGGGUAGGAGUGAAAUCUUGUAAUCCUGGGNGGACCACCGAUGGCGAAGGCAUCUUAC